GUUUCCUAGAUAUUUCCAACAAUUGGGUUUUUUUUUGGUAAAUUUGUGUUUUGUUCCUUUAUCUUGUGUACAUUUUUGCUUUCUAUUGUCUCUUUUCAAUCACCUUGUUAGCCUGUUUUUACUCUUAUCUUGUACUCAUUUCUUAAUUAAUGAGAAAUGUUGUUUCCUUUAUAAGAUAUAGAUUUUCCAUAUUAUUGCUAAAGCUCAUUUCUGUCCUUGAUUAAUCUAAAUCUGGUUUCCCUUUUAUAAAAUUUCUAUGCAGACUAGCACACAAGAAUUUUGUGAUAUAUUCCCCUUGCUUUAUGAUAAUGUUUUGACUUAAAGUUAAUUCUGUAAUGAUGCUAAGUACAGUAUUUUUGCCUCUAUAUUAUUCUUAAAGGCCAUUACUGCUUUGAAGAAAGGAGCCUACUUGCUCAAGUAUGGAAGAAGGGGGAAGCCAAAGUUUUGUCCUUUCCGACUUUCCAAUGUGAGGGAUAAAACUUGGCCGGAAAGUACCUAUUGCAAGUAUGGACAAUAGUGGAAAGAUAACAUGGGCUAAGCAUAAUGAAAUUCAAACAGUAAACAUCAAAAGUGUGGGAGCAGACUUUGAGGUUACUGAUGGAGAGAGAUUGCCUUUAGCUGUUAAGGAGAUGGGAACUUGUGAUCUUUAUCCUCAAUGCUGUGAAGUGCUGGAAGUGCUGUGAAGUGCUGGAAUUAUCGUGGGAAGUGCUGUCAAUUUCGUGGGAAGUGCUGGAAUUAUCGUAUUGAAAUAUACGGGGCCCUUCGCAUGUUUGUGAAAAUGCAUUUAAUGUGGAAUUCCAAAAUACUUAUAGACGGCGGAGACAAUGAAAUUGUGGCAACAUCUCUGCUUGAGGCCAGUAAUUUAUUGGUUCUCAAGGCUGCACCGGUGGAGUGGGUAGGGACAUUUUUUCUUUGCGCUACUUAUGCUUACGUUGGACUACAAUAAGCUUUACUUUUCAGCUUAUUGUGUUGAUGUUGCUUAUUUCUUUAUAGAUUGAUAUUGGUUUUCAAGCGACCGUUGAAAAUUGAAGACUGAGAAGGCAUUUAGGUUUUUUAAUUAUUUAAUUCUUGUAUUAGAAUCUUUUUUCAUGUACUAUUGUAGAAUGUAUAUAUAAACAUAAUAUUAAUAUUUUAUUUUGUGUAUUCAAAUGUAAAAGACAAAUGUUAUAGUUUCUAACAUAAUAUGAAUUUCAUUGAUUUGUUGGCGUGUGAAAAA
This is an RNA transcript of Cucumis melo (muskmelon), 1216 nucleotides long. It is a transcript of the gene named coatomer subunit beta'-1-like, with no coding region annotated. NCBI's taxonomy places the organism in Eukaryota, Viridiplantae, Streptophyta, Magnoliopsida, Cucurbitales, Cucurbitaceae. The record is from RefSeq and is a predicted model, not a curated record. The transcript is spliced from 5 exons.